Molecule: ribosomal RNA, 264 nt
Filed under: uncultured bacterium
Lineage: Bacteria
Description: partial 16S ribosomal RNA
Rfam family: Bacterial small subunit ribosomal RNA
Source: RNAcentral
GUCCACGCCUAACGAUGCACACUAGUUGUUGCGAUGCUAGUCAUUGCAGUAAUGCACUUAACAGAUUAAGUGUGCCGCCUGGGGAGUACGGUCGCAAGAUUAAACUCAAAGGAAUAGACGGGGACCCGCACAAGCGGUGGAGCAUGUGGUUUAAUUCGAAGAUACACGAAGAACCUUACCUGGCCUUGAUAUCCUAAGAAUCCUGUAGAGAUACGGGAGUGCUAGUUUACUAGAACUUAGAGACAGGUGCUGCACGGCUGUCGU